This 602-nucleotide non-coding RNA is filed under the name Drosophila virilis. Its description in RNAcentral is "Eukaryotic large subunit ribosomal RNA". It matches the Rfam family "Eukaryotic large subunit ribosomal RNA", at positions 1 to 586 of the family's 3401-position model. The record is from Rfam by way of RNAcentral. Lineage: Eukaryota; Metazoa; Arthropoda; Insecta; Diptera; Drosophilidae.
CAACCUCAACUCAUAUGGGACUACUCCCUGAAUUUAAGCAUAUUAAUUAGGGGAGGAAAAGAAACUAACAAGGAUUUUCUUAGUAGCGGCGAGCGAAAAGAAAUCAGUUCAGCACUAAGUCACUUUGUCUAUAUGGCAAAUGUGAGAUGCAGUGUACGGAACAUCAACAUUCUAGUAUGAGAAGUUAACGAUUUAAGUCCUUCUUAAAUGAGGCCAUUUACCCAUAGAGGGUGCCAGGCCCGUAUAACGUUAAUGAUUACUAGAUGGUGUUUCCAAAGAGUCGUGUUGCUUGAUAGUGCAGCACUAAGUGGGUGGUAAACUCCAUCUAAAACUAAAUAUAACCAUGAGACCGAUAGUAAACAAGUACCGUGAGGGAAAGUUGAAAAGAACUCUGAAUAGAGAGUUAAAUAGUACGUGAAACUGCUUAGAGGUUAAGCCCGAUGAACCUGAAUAUCCGUUAUGGAAAAUUCAUCAUUAGAAUUGUAAUAUUUUAAACAAUAUUAUAAUAAUAGUGUGCAUUUUUUCCAUAUAAGGACAUUGUAAUCUAUUAGCAUAAAUAUUUAUCAUAAAAUUAUGUCUGAUUGCUUAUUUGAAUUAUAUGC